AGAAGUGUCUAACACUGGUUUCGGCCCGGUUAAAGGUGUUUAUCAGCACCCACUUCUA
RNAcentral lists this transfer RNA (58 nucleotides) under Neanthes glandicincta. Its description in RNAcentral is "tRNA-Arg". The record is from RNAcentral. Lineage: Eukaryota; Metazoa; Annelida; Polychaeta; Phyllodocida; Nereididae.